RNAcentral lists this long non-coding RNA (1447 nucleotides) under Homo sapiens (human). RNAcentral's name for it is "non-protein coding lnc-SLC26A3-1:6". The record is from RNAcentral. Lineage: Eukaryota; Metazoa; Chordata; Mammalia; Primates; Hominidae.
GAGCCAGAAGCAGAUAAGGCGACUGCCCGCCCCGCGGAGAGCUGCCUUCUGGGACUUGUAGUGCGCGGGGCCCCCGGAGCCGGCUGGCUGCGCAGGCUCGGCCGUUGCGCUGGCCCCACCCCGGCGGGCGGAGUAACGGUUUGGAAUCCCCCGGGGUCAGCGAGCGCUUGUUUCCUCCGCCUGGUGUAGCAAAAGUGUAAACACGCGCGCUCCGGAAGGCGCCCUCCAGUGGGAGGUUGCUCAGGGGAUGGCGGAGCUGUGAAACUCGGAGCUAGAAGGAAAGUCUCAACGCUUGUCUAAAUUUUGCUUUGUCGUGACGAGCUACCUAGACCCACGCAGAGCUAACUUGGUAUAUGCCCCGGUUCCCAUCUCUUAAGUCUCUUUACAGUUGAAACACGUUUAUAAUGCUUGACUGCCACUCACUUUCUAGGGAGAGCGCUUGUGACGCUACGAACCUCUCGAACACCUGACGACUGGGCGCCAGGGCCGGAUGGAGGGUGGAGAGCCAGUGCGGCGCAGCUGCCUCCUCUUAACGGGGACACCUUGCAGGAAUGUGCGGAGUGGAGCUAACGGGAGCGGAUAGAAACCGAGGGAGGGGAAGAGAGCGCGAAGGCUUGGCCGGAAGGAGAGGUUAAAAAGGAAAGGCCUAAAAUGAGGAAGAGAGUUACCACAACAAGCAGUACCUAGUUCCAGUUCUUGGUCCCAGGAGUUUGUGGUUGUUGCUGCUUUCAUCUUCCUCAGCCAACACAAAAGGAAAGUGCCAAGGGGCGAUUCCUAGGACCUUCAGUGCAGUCUCCACCUUGCGGACUUGGCUCAUUUGUGUCCACUCCUUUCUCCAGCCUUUUACACUUGAUGCUCUUGGAUGAAUAGAAAGGAGCACAAUUAAUGGAAAACACAAGCUUGGGAGUCAAGGGAUUUGGGUUCUAUUCUUGUCCUCCCUUGGUGACGACAUCAUUACCUUGGGUUAUUCAAGCUUUCAGUGCCAGAGUUCCUAUAUCAAUAAAAGAUUAUUACAUUGACCUCUUAGAGAAAUGUUUUCAUGGUACUGAAUUGCAAAUAAAGUAUGUGUAGCGAUGUGUUAUAUCUUUGUAGUUGUACGGUAUUAUUUGUGAAUCAUGCUGUGAUGAUCAGUGCGAUUUAAGUGCACCAUGUUAUUUGGUGAUUAUUUUCCUGAGAUCUUGUAAAAGAUUUUUCUGCUCUAUAUAUGCAGCUUUAUAAACAAGUUUUUAGGUACAUUCACAACUAAGGACAUUUGUGAAUCAAAAUUACCCCUGCUUUUUUUAAAUGUAAAGUUCUGUAUUGCUAGGUGGUUUUCAAGAUGCUUUCAGUUUCUGGGAUUAUUGUUUUGGGCAUUGGGGCUUGCCUAACCUUUUUCCCAUACCUCCCUAUUUUUCUAAAUACAGUGUUGAUAUAGUCAGGCAUUUUUCACCAAUUUGGGUUUUUUUUU